UAAAAAUGUGUAUAUAUGUGUAUGUACACACAUGCAUGUGUGUAUAUAUACAUAUUUAUAUAUUUGUAGAUAAGUGUUUAUAUAUAUGUAUAUACACCCUAUAUACAUAUUUACAACACAGAACCUAAGAGCAUAAUGACCUACAUUUAGCUAUAGAUAAAUAUUUAUUAGAAUUCUAUAUUCAUUAAGUAUCCCACAACUAAACACUGAUGUUAAUAACAUGUAUUUGGUCCAGUAAAGAAAUAUGAAAAUUAAGUAUAUAGAAAAUAGGCCCUAUAAAAAAAGAAUAAAUGAAUAAGAGUCCUUUUGUACAAAGUUGUGAUUUGUUUACAUUAUGUUGUUGCUUCAGUAAUUCACUAGUUUUAGUUCUUUUUUUAUAAUAAAUAAAUUUUUUAGUUGUAGAUAGACACAAUACCUUUAUUUUAUUUAUUUUUAUGUGGUGCUGAGGCUUGAACCCAUUGCUUCACACAUGCCAGACAAGCACUCUACCACUGAGUCACAACCCAAGACCCUUAGUUCCUUCUCUUUAAAAGUGCAGAUUGGUGCGGCCAAUUUGGAAAGCAGUAUGGAGAUUCCUGGGAAAGCUGGGAAUGGAACCACCAUUUGACCCAGCUAUUGCCCUUCUCGAACUAUUCCCUGAAGACCUUAAAAGAGCGUACUACAGGGAUACUGCCACAUCGAUGUUCAUAGCAGCACAAUUCACAAUAGCUAGACUCUGGAACCAACCCAGAAGCCCUUCAAUAGAUGAAUGGAUAAAAAAAAAUGUGGCAUUUAUACACAACGGAGUAUUACGCAGCACUAAAAAAUGACAAAUCAUGGAAUUUGCAGGGAAAUGGAUGGCACUAGAGCAGAUUAUGCUAAGUGAAGCUAGCCAAUCCCUAAAACACAAAUGCCAAAUGUCUUCUUUGAUAUAAUGAGAGCAACUAAGAACAGAGCAGGGAAGAAGAGCAGGAGGAAAAGAUUAACAUUAAACAGAGACAUGAGGUGGGAGGGAAAGGUAGAGAAAAGGGAAAUUGCAUGGAAAUGGAAGGAGACCCUCUUUGUUAUACAAAAUUACAUGUAAGAGGUUAUGAGGGGAAUGGGAAAAAAACAAGGAGAGAAAUGAAUUACAGUAGAUGGGGUAGAGAGAGAAGUGGGAGGGGAGGGGAGGGGGGGAUAGUAGAGGAUAGGAAAGGUAGUAGAAUACAACAGUUACUAAUAUGGCAUUAUGUAAAAAUGUGGAUGUGUAACCGAUGUGAUUCUGCAAUCUGUAUUUGGGGUAAAAAUGGGAGUUCAUAACCCACUUGAAUCUAAUGUAUGAAAUAUGAUAUGUCAAGAGCUUUGUAAUGUUUUGAACAACCAAUAAAAAAAAACAUAAAAAAAUAAAAUAAAAUAAAAAAAUAAAAGUGCAGAAUGGAACUUUUAAAAAAUAGGUUAAAACUCGUUUGGUUUAAGGAAUUUCAAACCCAAGGAUGUACUGGUCACUGAAAAUAAUGACUGUUAUUGUUGAUUAUACCUUAAGAAAGACAGGUUGCAGAGACCUGUAGUACAUACGUUAGGCCCAAUUCAAGUCACCACAUAUACGACAUUUAUAGCUUUACUCCGCUUUACAACAUGUGAUCUUCUAGAUAGAUGCAAAAAUAUAAUUAAGUGGAGAUAAUUUUACAAAAGAAUGUACCAAAUAAACUUAAAUUUAUAUAAACUCUAAUAUAUAAAAACUUUUGAUUUAUAUACUGUGGUAUUUAUCUUUGGGAAUGUAAUAUACAAUAGAACAAUAACAAUAACGUAUAAGGAAAACAGAUCUGUUUAAUAAAGUGGACAAACCUAAAAAUGAGCUCAAUACCAAUAUAUUUUAGAGGCAAGGAGUAACCUGGGGUAAUAUUCAGAAGGAAUUACUGAUGAGAAUAAUAUUAUGAAACAUGCUAAAACACUAAGGGGCUUUUUGCAGUCAUUUUCUCUAAAUAAAUUAAUGUCAAGUGUUUUUGUUCUAAAUAGACUUCUGAUCAGAAUCAGAUAUUUAGCCAGGUGCGAUGGCACACACCUAUAAUCCCAGCAGCUUGGGAGUGUGAGGCAGGAGGAUCACGAGUUCAAAGGCAGCCUUAGCAACAAUGAGGCACUGGGCAACUAAGUGAGACCCUGUCUCUAAAUAAAAUACAAAAAAAGGACUGGGGAUAGGUUCAGUGAUUGAGUGCUCCUGAGUUCAAUUCCUGGAAACCCCCCGCAAAAAAAAAAAAAAAAAAAUCAGAUAUUUAUACUUAUAAACCCAAAUGAAAGUAAUGGUGGUCUCAGCAGACUGCAUUUCUGGUAGGAAGAAAUUUUGGAAGGGUAUUCAUUUAAUUGCUAGCAAAUAGUUAGCAUUUCAUUGAGACCACUGGCAUCUGUAACAAUGAAAAACAUACUUUAUUGCAAAUAAGGAUUAAGGCAGCUUCCCUAGGAGUCUCUGAGAGGCCAUUNGGUAGCCCCAGAACUUUCAGCUUAAACUUCCCAGCUCUAAUCACCAUUUUCCUCAUAAACUCUUGAAACUACACUAUAAAACUAAACAUGUGCUGCGGAGGGAAACUCUGUCAACCAAUGACUCUCCAUUCAGGUUGCAGAAGAGUGACCAAGAACAAAGUUAGAUUCCGAGAAACCAAAAGACCUGUCACCUGGCUUAAAGCAGCCAUGAUGGCUAGAUGUUUUAGAACAGAACCAUUAGGUUAGAGUGAAAAAAGGACGCCUUUGAAAAGGUACUCAGAUCUAACUUUUCAAAGUAUGAAAAGUAUAUCUAUAUAUUUGCCUUUUCAGAGUAUAUUCAGAUUUUCUAAUUUGGGGCUUUUCACAACUUUUACUGAAUAAUAAGACAUUCACUAACUUAGAGGCAAGGGAAAGGACCUAAUGUGCAAAUCAUUAUUCCAUUUCUGAUGAAGUAGUAUAAUAUUAGCUAAGACUGAAAUUUUUAGAUAAUCUUAAAAUUAUAUUGAUUAGUGCUAUCAUUACCCUUAAAGAUCCAAAGAUGACUGAACAAAUGUAUAAAAUAUAUAACACAGGCCACAUGUGGUGGUGCACACCCAUAAUCCCAGUGACUUGAUAGGCUGAGGCAAUGGAUCCUAAAUUCAAGGCUGGCGCUGGCCACUUGGCAAGACCCUAUCUCCAAAAAAAAAAAAAAAAAAGAACUGGGGAUUAGCUCAGCUCAGUGGUAAAGUGCCCCUGGGUUCAAUCCUCAGUACCAAUUUUUAAAAAAAUUUAAUACAUAUACACACAUCUAAAUGCAUAAAAAUAUAUAUACUCACACACCGUACAUACAUACACAUCUAAAAAUGUGUAUAUAUGUGUAUGUACACACAUGCAUGUGUGUAUAUAUACAUAUUUAUAUAUUUGUAGAUAAGUGUUUAUAUAUAUGUAUAUACACCCUAUAUACAUAUUUACAACACAGAACCUAAGAGCAUAAUGACCUACAUUUAGCUAUAGAUAAAUAUUUAUUAGAAUUCUAUAUUCAUUAAGUAUCCCACAACUAAACACUGAUGUUAAUAACAUGUAUUUGGUCCAGUAAAGAAAUAUGAAAAUUAAGUAUAUAGAAAAUAGGCCCUAUAAAAAAAGAAUAAAUGAAUAAGAGUCCUUUUGUACAAAGUUGUGAUUUGUUUACAUUAUGUUGUUGCUUCAGUAAUUCACUAGUUUUAGUUCUUUUUUUAUAAUAAAUAAAUUUUUUAGUUGUAGAUAGACACAAUACCUUUAUUUUAUUUAUUUUUAUGUGGUGCUGAGGCUUGAACCCAUUGCUUCACACAUGCCAGACAAGCACUCUACCACUGAGUCACAACCCAAGACCCUUAGUUCCUUCUCUUUAAAAGUGCAGAUUGGUGCGGCCAAUUUGGAAAGCAGUAUGGAGAUUCCUGGGAAAGCUGGGAAUGGAACCACCAUUUGACCCAGCUAUUGCCCUUCUCGAACUAUUCCCUGAAGACCUUAAAAGAGCGUACUACAGGGAUACUGCCACAUCGAUGUUCAUAGCAGCACAAUUCACAAUAGCUAGACUCUGGAACCAACCCAGAAGCCCUUCAAUAGAUGAAUGGAUAAAAAAAAAUGUGGCAUUUAUACACAACGGAGUAUUACGCAGCACUAAAAAAUGACAAAUCAUGGAAUUUGCAGGGAAAUGGAUGGCACUAGAGCAGAUUAUGCUAAGUGAAGCUAGCCAAUCCCUAAAACACAAAUGCCAAAUGUCUUCUUUGAUAUAAUGAGAGCAACUAAGAACAGAGCAGGGAAGAAGAGCAGGAGGAAAAGAUUAACAUUAAACAGAGACAUGAGGUGGGAGGGAAAGGUAGAGAAAAGGGAAAUUGCAUGGAAAUGGAAGGAGACCCUCUUUGUUAUACAAAAUUACAUGUAAGAGGUUAUGAGGGGAAUGGGAAAAAAACAAGGAGAGAAAUGAAUUACAGUAGAUGGGGUAGAGAGAGAAGUGGGAGGGGAGGG
Molecule: long non-coding RNA, 4416 nt
Filed under: Marmota monax (woodchuck)
Lineage: Eukaryota; Metazoa; Chordata; Mammalia; Rodentia; Sciuridae
Source: RNAcentral